This 927-nucleotide ribosomal RNA is filed under the name Triticum aestivum (bread wheat). RNAcentral describes it as "partial small subunit ribosomal RNA". Lineage: Eukaryota; Viridiplantae; Streptophyta; Magnoliopsida; Poales; Poaceae. The record is from RNAcentral.
AUGGUGCGUGUGGCUGCAGGCCAUCUUCUUCAUCUCCCCUCCCGUCCCCUCAUUGGUUCGUUUUAUGUGCAGGGCAGGCUGCUGCUGCUGGAGGCGCACGUCGCCUGCCUCCGCGUCGCCACCCCCGUCGACCAGCCCCCCCGCAUCGACGCAGAUCGCCGCGCGCGCCCCGCCGCCCGUGCCCCCGCCGCCGCGCCCGCCGGCGACGAGGAGCUCGACCUCUUCAUGACACACUAUGUGCUGCUCCUCUGUUCCUUCAAGGAACAGCUCCAGCAGCAUGUGCGCGUCCACGCCAUGGAGGCGGUGAUGGCCUGCUGGGAGCUCGAGCAAACUCUGCAGAGUCUUACAGGGGCAUCUCCUGGUGAAGGCACCGGGGCAACUAUGUCCGAUGACGAAGACAAUCCGGUCGACAGUGAGAGCAACAUGUUUGACGGGAAUGAUGUGUCAGAUGGCAUGGGCUUCGGAAUGCUAACCGAGGGUGAGAGAUCCUUGGUCGAGCGCAUGAGGCAAGAGCUGAAGCAUGAGCUUAAACAGAAUUAUUUUCCUGACUUUGCAGGGGUAUAGAGAAAACUGCGGAAGCGAAGAGCCGGAAAGCUCCCAGGGGACACGGCGUCUACCCUGAAAGCUUGGUGGCAAGCCCACGCCAAAUGGCCGUACCCAACUGAGGAGGACAAGGCGCGGCUGGUGCAGGAGACGGGGCUGCAGCUGAAGCAGAUCAACAACUGGUUCAUCAACCAGCGCAAGCGGAACUGGCACAGCAACCCUACCUCGUCCUCGUCAGACAAGAGCAAGAGAAAAAGGUACGGCGAUCGGCCCAAAAACAAUCCUUUCAUCACAUGCUUGAAAUCGCUCAGGUUUUCAUUCCCUCUCUUUCAUUCAAAAAAAAGGAACAAUGCAGGUGAGGGCAACGCCGAGCAGUCCUGGUAG